UGGUAACACAGGAAAAUUUCUUGUCGCUUUCCGGGGCCAUGUAGGCCCUGUCUAUCAGAUAAGCUGGUCUGCUGACAGUAGAUUGCUUUUAAGUGGGAGCAAAGACUCGACACUGAAGGUUUGGGAUAUCCGGACGCAGAAGUUGAAACAAGAUCUUCCAGGUCAUGCAGAUGAGGUA
Cornus florida is the source of this 178-nucleotide long non-coding RNA. RefSeq lists it as uncharacterized. NCBI's taxonomy places the organism in Eukaryota, Viridiplantae, Streptophyta, Magnoliopsida, Cornales, Cornaceae. The transcript has 3 exons. The record is from RefSeq and is a predicted model, not a curated record.